UUGAAACACCGGUUCCCGUACGAUCAAUGAAGUUAAGCAAUGUCGACCCUAAUCAGUAUCUAGAUGGGUGACCGCUUAAGAAUAUUAGGUGCUGU
Molecule: non-coding RNA, 95 nt
Organism: Acanthosepion pharaonis
Lineage: Eukaryota; Metazoa; Mollusca; Cephalopoda; Sepiida; Sepiidae
Source: the annotation of a GenBank genome assembly